GCUUCUCAGAUUAGUCCUUCCACAAAUAAUGUUUCUUAGAGCUAAACUCCAACAGCAUAAAUUUUCCCGCUUUUUCACAACAAACCAAACUCUCAAUAAUCAACAACAAUGUUUUCCCAUUACUCAACAACUCUUAUUCCUCUUAAAAAAAUGCAUUACAAUCAAACAAGUCCAACAAAUCCAUACCCAAAUGUUAAUUCACUCUAUAGACAAAGCCAAUUAUUUACUCUCAAAAAUAAUAGACUUAAAAAAUUUAGACUAUGCUACUAUUCUUUUUUCACAUAUUAAUAACCCUAAUGAGUAUGCAUUUAAUAUAAUGAUAAGAGGGUUAACUACAACAUGGCAAAAAUUUGAUCUUUCUUUAGAACUUUAUUACAAAAUGAAGUCAUUAAGUUUACAAACUGAUAAUUUUACAUACCCUUUUGUGUUUAUGUGUUGUGGCAAUCUUUUAGCUAUGAAACUUGGUGGAUUAGCUCAUUGUGAGGUGUUGAAAAAUGGGUUGUUUGUGGAUUUUCAUAUAGGUCAUUCUUUGAUUACUAUGUAUUCGCGUUUAGGGAAGAUGGGGAUUGCGCGAAAAGUGUUUGAUGAAAUGUCGCAAAGAGAUUUGGUUUCGUGGAACUCGAUGAUUUCAGGGCAUGCUCAAAGUGGUUGCUCGAGAGAGGCGGUGGUGUUGUUUAUGGAAAUGAGGGAUGAGGGGUUUGAACCUGAUGAGAGGACACUUGUGAGUGUUCUUGGAGCUUGUGGGGAUUUGGGAGAUGUGAAUUUGGGUAAGUGUGUGGAGGAGGAGUAUGUUGUGGGGAAGAGAAUGGAGUUGAAUUCUUUUAUGGGUUCAGCUUUGGUUAACAUGUAUGGAAAAUGUGGAGAUUUGGUUUCUGCUAGAAGGAUCUUUGAUGGCAUGAGGAAGAAAGACGCGAUCACUUGGAAUGCGAUGAUUUCAGGGUAUGCACAAAAUGGGUUGUCCGAUGAAACAAUCUCUUUGUUCAAUGCCAUGAAGGAGGCAGGAGUUAACCCAAAUAAUAUCACACUGGUAAGUGUUCUCUCUGCAUGUGCUUCAAUUGGAGCCCUGGAUGUUGGAAAAUGCAUCGAUGACUAUGCAUCAAGAAGAGGUAUAAAGUAUGAUAUAUAUGUAGCUACGGCCUUAAUUGAUAUGUAUGCAAAAUCCGGCAAUCUGGAUGAUGCAUAUCAAAUUUUUGAAAGCAUGCCUAGAAAAAAUGAAGUCUCCUGGAAUGCAAUGAUUUCUGCUCUUGCCUUUCAUGGAAGAGCACAAGAAGCAUUAUCCCUAUUUGAGCGUAUGUCACUCGAGAGUAGUGAUGCCCACCCAGAUGAUGUCACUUUUGUUGGAGUACUCUCAGCAUGUGUACAUGCAGGGUUGGUUGAUGAAGGCAAGCGCAAUUUUGAUAUAAUGAGUUCAUCAUUUGGGUUGGUUCCGAAAGUUGAGCAUUACUCUUGCAUGGUUGACCUUUUGUCUCGAGCUGGUCGUGUAUACGAGGCAUGGGAGUUUAUUGAGAAGAUGCCUCAAAAACCAGAUGAAAUUUUACUUGGUGCAUUGCUUGGUGCAUGUCAAAAGCUCAAAAAUAUUGAUGUCGGGGAACGAGUGAUGCAACUACUCCUUGAGAUGGAACCGUCGAAUUCGGGUAAUUAUAUAAUAUCAUCAAAGAUAUACGCAAAUCUACGAAGGUGGGAUGAUUCUGCAAGGAUGAGACAAUUAAUGAGACAGAAAGGUGUGACUAAAAUUCCAGGCUGUAGCUGGAUUGAGAUGGAUUCUCAACUUGUUGAAUUUCGUGCUGGCGAUUCGUCACAUCCAAUUGCGGAUGGGAUUCAACAGGCACUAGACUUGUUGUACGAGGAGAUGGUGGUAGAUGGCUAUGUUCCAAAUGCGAAUAUUGUGUAGAAAGUGUGUAAUUUUGCAGCAUGGAUUGUUGGAUAGGCCACUUGAUACCUUUAUGAUCAUCCUGAACUGAAUGCAUGGUCAGUUUGUUGGAUUCAGUAUGACUUGCUAGGUUCAUGAUCCUUUUGUGCACCAAAUGAGAAGCUAUACAUAGAGGAACCAGAAAUGGUAACUGGACAAAGCAAUUUCAUUAAAUGAUGAAGCUUGAAGCAAUUCAAUCUCAGCCAUGCCGAGUGCAUAGUAAGAUUCCUUUCUCAAAUCCUGCAACCAAAGUGAACAUCAUCCAGAAAGUGGGCUCUAUUUUGCUGGACAACGUAGAAAUUUGCUGCUCCUUGACUGGUUGCUUGAUGUUCUUUUGUUGUAACUUCCUCUUUUUGUUGAUGUUCUUUUGUUGUAACUAAAGAGUGAAAGUUUAGCAUUUGAUGAAAAUAUGUAUACUAUUAUAGAAACACUGAAAGAUCCUUUCUGAAAAGAACAUGGCCAACGGCAGUCGAGGGUAUUGUAUUUCUGGGACAUUUCCAUUUUGAUUUAAUACUGAUUAUUAUCUUUUGGUACAUAUACAAAUAAGAAGAAAAUUGAGUAGCCA
Molecule: RNA transcript, 2474 nt
Organism: Lycium barbarum (goji berry)
Lineage: Eukaryota; Viridiplantae; Streptophyta; Magnoliopsida; Solanales; Solanaceae
Gene name: pentatricopeptide repeat-containing protein At2g34400
Exons: 4
Source: RefSeq, a predicted model, not a curated record